CACGCAGGCGGUUUUGUCAGUCAGAUGUGAAAGCCCGGGGCUCAACCCCGGAAGUGCAUUUGAAACAGCAAAACUUGAGUACGGGAGAGGAAAGCGGAAUUCCUGGUGUAGAGGUGAAAUUCGUAGAUAUCAGGAGGAACACCGGUGGCGAAGGCGGCUUUCUGGACCGAUACUGACGCUGAGGUGCGAAGGCGUGGGGAGCGAACA
Molecule: ribosomal RNA, 207 nt
Filed under: uncultured bacterium
Lineage: Bacteria
Description: partial 16S ribosomal RNA
Rfam family: Bacterial small subunit ribosomal RNA
Source: RNAcentral